Molecule: non-coding RNA, 23 nt
Filed under: Arabidopsis thaliana (thale cress)
Lineage: Eukaryota; Viridiplantae; Streptophyta; Magnoliopsida; Brassicales; Brassicaceae
Source: RNAcentral
AGGAUGUGGCGGGGAAUUGCCGU